Molecule: ribosomal RNA, 253 nt
Filed under: uncultured bacterium
Lineage: Bacteria
Description: partial 16S ribosomal RNA
Rfam family: Bacterial small subunit ribosomal RNA
Source: RNAcentral
UACGGAGGGUGCAAGCGUUAUCCGGCUUUACUGGGUUUAAAGGGUGCGCAGGCGGAUAUGUAAGUCAGUGGUGAAAUCUCUAGGCUUAACCUGGAAAUUGCCGUUGAUACUAUAUAUCUUGAAUGCUGUGGAGGUAAGCGGAAUAUGUCAUGUAGCGGUGAAAUGCUUAGAUAUGACAUAGAACACCUAUUGCGAAGGCAGCUUACUACGCAGAUAUUGACGCUCAUGCACGAAAGCGUGGGGAUCAAACAGG